RNAcentral lists this non-coding RNA (829 nucleotides) under Tamiasciurus hudsonicus (American red squirrel). Lineage: Eukaryota; Metazoa; Chordata; Mammalia; Rodentia; Sciuridae. The record is from RNAcentral.
UGGCCUUUUUAUUAACUCUUAGCAAACUUACACAUGCAAGAAUCCCCGCCCCAGUGAGAAUGCCCUCUAUAUCAACCCUCUGAUCAAAAGGUGCAGGUAUUAAGUACACUUUAAGAGUAGCUCACAAUGCCUUGCUCCACCACACCCCCACGGGAUACAGCAGUGAUUAAAAUUAAACCAUGAACGAAAGUUCGACUGAGUUAUGCUAAUUCAACUUCGGGUUGGUAAAUUUCGUGCCAGCCACCGCGGUCAUACGAUUAACCCUAGUUAAUAAAACACGGCGUAAAGCGUGAUUAAGGACUACUCACAAAUAAGAUUAAGCCCCUACUACGCUGUAAAAAGCCUUAGUAAGUGUAAAAAUAAAAGACGAAAGUUAUCUUAUAACUCCUGAACUCACGAUAGCUAAGACCCAAACUGGGAUUAGAUACCCCACUAUGCUUAGCCCUAAACAUAAAUAUUCAACUAACAAGAAUAUUCGCCAGAGAACUACUAGCCACAGCUAAAAACUCAAAGGACUUGGCGGUGCUUUAUACCCCUCUAGAGGAGCCUGUUCUGUAAUCGAUAAACCCCGUUAAACCUCACCACCCCUAGCAAUUAUCAGCCUAUAUACCGCCAUCUUCAGCAAACCCUAAAAAGGAAGCAAAGUAAGCACAAUCAUUCUGCAUAAAAACGUUAGGUCAAGGUGUAGCCUAUGGGGUGGGAAGAAAUGGGCUACAUUUUCUACACUCCCUAGAACACUUACGUUAGCUGCUCUGAAACAUAGCUAGCCUAAGGUGGAUUUAGUAGUAAGCUAGGAAUAGAGCGCCUAGCUGAAUCGGGCAAUAAAGCA